UACGUAGGGUGCAAGCGUUAAUCGGAAUUACUGGGCGUAAAGCGUGCGCAGGCGGUGAUGUAAGACAGAUGUGAAAUCCCCGGGCUCAACCUGGGAACUGCAUUUGUGACUGCAUCGCUGGAGUACGGCAGAGGGGGAUGGAAUUCCGCGUGUAGCAGUGAAAUGCGUAGAUAUGCGGAGGAACACCGAUGGCGAAGGCAAUCCCCUGGGCCUGUACUGACGCUCAGUGCACGAAAGCGUGGGGAGCGAAACAAGG
Molecule: ribosomal RNA, 256 nt
Filed under: uncultured bacterium
Lineage: Bacteria
Description: partial 16S ribosomal RNA
Rfam family: Bacterial small subunit ribosomal RNA
Source: RNAcentral